This 503-nucleotide ribosomal RNA is filed under the name uncultured bacterium. Its description in RNAcentral is "partial 16S ribosomal RNA". It matches the Rfam family "Bacterial small subunit ribosomal RNA", at positions 30 to 523 of the family's 1533-position model. The record is from RNAcentral.
AUUGAACGCUGGCGGCAGGCUUAACACAUGCAAGUCGAGCGGAGUGAUGGUGCUUGCACUAUCACUUAGCGGCGGACGGGUGAGUAAUGCUUAGGAAUCUGCCUAUUAGUGGGGGACAACAUCUCGAAAGGGAUGCUAAUACCGCAUACGUCCUACGGGAGAAAGCAGGGGAUCACUUGUGUCCUUGCGCUAAUAGAUGAGCCUAAGUCGGAUUAGUUAGUUGGUGGGGUAAAGUCCUACCAAGGCGACGAUGUGUAGCGGGUCUGAGAUGAUGAUGCGCCACCCUGGGACUGAGACACGGACCAGACUCCUACGGAAGGGAGCAGUGGUGACUCUUGGACAAUGGAGGGAACCCUGAUCUAGCCAUGCGUCGUGUGUGAAGAAGGCAUUAUGGUUGUAAAGCACUUUAAGCGAGGAGGAGGCUCUUUUGGUUAAUACCCAAGAUGAGUGGACGUUACUCGCAGAAUAAGCACCGACUAACUCUGUGCCAGCCGCCGCCGUAA